UACGUAGGGUGCGAGCGUUAAUCGGAAUUACUGGGCGUAAAGCGUGCGCAGGCGGUGAUGUAAGACCGAUGUGAAAUCCCCGGGCUUAACCUGGGAACUGCAUUGGUGACUGCAUUGCUGGAGUAUGGCAGAGGGGGGUGGAAUUCCACGUGUAGCAGUGAAAUGCGUAGAGAUGUGGAGGAACACCGAUGGCGAAGGCAGCCCCCUGGGCUAACACUGACGCUCAUGCACGAAAGCGUGGGGAGCAAACAGG
This 253-nucleotide ribosomal RNA is filed under the name uncultured bacterium. Its description in RNAcentral is "partial 16S ribosomal RNA". It matches the Rfam family "Bacterial small subunit ribosomal RNA", at positions 524 to 776 of the family's 1533-position model. The record is from RNAcentral.